CCCUUUAUUAUUUCCUUCUCUGUCAUCUGCGUCGCUCACCGUUUCGGCGAUCCCAUCACUAAUAUGGCCGCCGCGAGGGUUCUCCUCCGCGAGGAUACGCCGUCGCGCGCGGCCUCCUCCCUGCCCACGGGCCGCCGGCCACCACCGCCUCCUCUGCUGCUGCCCACUCGUCCCAGACCGACUCGGCGGCGGCCGCGUCUAAGCCUAAGCUUACCAAGACCUUCUCCAUCUACCGAUGUACGAGUGUCUUCUUUGCGCCUGCUGCUGGACCUCCUGCCCUAGCUGUUGGUGGAAUCCCGAGGCCUAUCUUGGGCCAGUUGCCCUCUUUCAUGCCCAUAGGUGAAGAAUUUGGGAGAAUACGCUAUCUUUUUAUGCAACAACCAAUCUCUUUGUCUCUCUUGUAAAGACUUACCUGAGUUGAAACCAAACCACAUCUAUUUCACUAAUGACUUCUGGUGGUGGAAUGAUCACCAUAGAGAGAAAUGCCGGGAUGUAAUCGUCUAUGAUUUGGAGAACAAUACCUUCUCAUAUAUUUUGCACUCCGAUGCUCGUCUAAACAUGCCACCUCCUAUUUGGAUCACUCCCAGUCCUCUGCUUAAUGACUGAUAGGGGUUUAAGCAUUCUCUUGGAGACGCAAAAGAACAUGCCGUCAGUAACCUCUCUCUCUCUCUCUCUCUCUCUCUCUCUUUCAUGCAGCUUCUUCUUCCUCCUCCGGAAGAAGCCAAUGAUAUCUAUAUGUACAAGUGAGUCAUAGAAUCUUUUGCUUUCGAUCAUUCUCGUCUCUGAUCGGUUUGCCUACACCGAGGUGGAAGGCUUCGCUCUCUAAGGUAUGUCUGGUGGGAUGGGUUAUGGCCUUGAGCUUCUCCUAAAGAAUUAUUCUUAUUCAGUUUCAAGUCUUGUGUAAUAUGAAUCCUGAUCAGAUGAUGUGUA
Musa acuminata AAA Group (dessert banana) is the source of this 930-nucleotide long non-coding RNA. RefSeq lists it as uncharacterized. The transcript has 3 exons. The record is from RefSeq and is a predicted model, not a curated record. NCBI's taxonomy places the organism in Eukaryota, Viridiplantae, Streptophyta, Magnoliopsida, Zingiberales, Musaceae.